This 460-nucleotide ribosomal RNA is filed under the name uncultured bacterium. Its description in RNAcentral is "partial 16S ribosomal RNA". It matches the Rfam family "Bacterial small subunit ribosomal RNA", at positions 338 to 795 of the family's 1533-position model. The record is from RNAcentral.
CCUACGGGUGGCAGCAGUGAGGAAUAUUGGUCAAUGGACGAGAGUCUGAACCAGCCAAGUAGCGUGAAGGAUGACUGCCCUAUGGGUUGUAAACUUCUUUUAUAAAGGAAUAAAACGAGGCACGUGUGCCUUUUUGCAUGUACUUUAUGAAUAAGGAUCGGCUAACUCCGUGCCAGCAGCCGCGGUAAUACGGAGGAUUCGAGCGUUAUCCGGAUUUAUUGGGUUUAAAGGGAGCGUAGAUGGGUUGUUAAGUCAGUUGUGAAAGUUUGCGGCUCAACCGUAAAAUUGCAAUUGAUACUGGCAGUCUAGAGGGUAGGUGAGGUAGGCGGAAUGCGUGGUGUAGCGGUGAAAUGCUUAGAUAUCACGAAGAACCCCGAUUGCGAAGGCAGCUUACCAACCUGUGACUGACGUUGAGGCACGAAAGUGUGGGUAUCAAACAGGAUUAGAUACCCUUGUAGUC